AGAGUUUGAUCAUGGCUCAGGACGAACGCUGGCGGCGUGCCUAAUACAUGCAAGUCGAGCGAAGGAUAGGCCUCAAAUCUUCGGAUGCGAAGCCUAUCACUGAGCGGCGAACGGGUGAGUAACGCGUGGGCAACCUGCCCCCCAGACUGGGAUAACAGCUCGAAAGGGCUGCUAAUACCGGAUACGCCUCAAAUUCCGCAUGGGAUUUGAGUGAAAGCGGUUAGCGCUGGGGGAUGGGCCCGCGUCCCAUUAGCUAGUUGGUGAGGUAAUGGCUCACCAAGGCGACGAUCAGUAGCCGACCUGAGAGGGUGAUCGGCCACACUGGAACUGAGACACGGCCCAGACUCCUACGGGAGGCAGCAGUAGGGAAUCUUCCGCAAUGGGCGAAAGCCUGACGGAGCAACGCCGCGUGAGCGAUGAAGGUCUUCGGAUCGUAAAGCUCUGUCCUUGGGGAAGAAGGCGAAAGCUUGACGGUACCCAAGAAGAAAGCCCCGGCUAACUACGUGCCAGCAGCCGCGGUA
RNAcentral lists this ribosomal RNA (521 nucleotides) under uncultured bacterium. RNAcentral's name for it is "bacterial SSU rRNA". It matches the Rfam family "Bacterial small subunit ribosomal RNA", at positions 8 to 522 of the family's 1533-position model. The record is from RNAcentral.